This 253-nucleotide ribosomal RNA is filed under the name uncultured bacterium. RNAcentral's name for it is "partial 16S ribosomal RNA". It matches the Rfam family "Bacterial small subunit ribosomal RNA", at positions 524 to 776 of the family's 1533-position model. The record is from RNAcentral.
GACGAAGGAUGCAAGCGUUAUCCGGAUUCAUUGGGUUUAAAGGGAGCGUAGGUGGGUUUGUAAGUCAGUGGUGAAAGCCGGUCGCUUAACGAUCGAAUUGCCAUUGAUACUGCAGACCUUGAGUACAGAUGCUGUGGGCGGAGUAUGACAUGUAGUGGUGAAAUACAUAGAGAUGUCAUAGAACACCGAUUGCGAAGGCAGCUCACAAAACUGUAACUGACACUGAGGCUCGAAAGUGCGGGGAUCAAACAGG